Molecule: ribosomal RNA, 253 nt
Filed under: uncultured bacterium
Lineage: Bacteria
Description: partial 16S ribosomal RNA
Rfam family: Bacterial small subunit ribosomal RNA
Source: RNAcentral
UACGAAGGGGGCUAGCGUUGCUCGGAAUCACUGGGCGUAAAGGGUGCGUAGGCGGAUUUCUAAGUCAGGGGUGAAAGCCUGAGGCUCAACCUCAGAACUGCCUUUGAUACUGGAAGUCUUGAGACCGGAAGAGGUAAGUGGAACUGCGAGUGUAGAGGUGAAAUUCGUAGAUAUUCGCAAGAACACCAGUGGCGAAGGCGGCUACCUGGACCAGCACUGACACUGAGGCACGAAAGCGUGGGGAGCGAACGGG